GACGGGGACCCGCACAAGCAGCGGAGCAUGUGGUUUAAUUCGAAGCAACGCGAAGAACCUUACCAGGUCUUGACAUCCAUCUAAAGCGAUAGAGAUAUCGUGUGAGCUUGCUCGAGAUGAGACAGGUGGUGCAUGGUUGUCGUCAGCUCGUGUCGUGAGAUGUUGGGUUAAGUCCCGCAACGAGCGCAACCCUUAUCGUCCGUUACUAACAGGCAAAGCUGAGGACUCAGACGAGACUGCCGGGGACAACUCGGAGGAAGGUGGGGACGACGUCAAAUCAUCAUGCCCCUUACGACCUGGGCUACACACGUGCUACAAUGGGUACAACAAAGAGAAGCAAAACCGCAAGGCGGAGCAAAACUCAAAAAGUACUCUCAGUUCGGAUUGUGGGCUGCAACCCCGCCCACAUGAAGUUGGAGUUGCUAGUAAUCGCGGAUCAGCAUGCCGCGGUGAAUACGUUCCCGGGUCUUGUACACACCGCCCGUCACACCAUGGGAGUUGGGAGCGCCCGAAGCCAGUGAGCUAACCGUAAGGAGGCAGCUGUCGAAGGUGAGACCAAUGACUGGGGUGAAGUCGUAACAAGGGAGCCGU
This 591-nucleotide ribosomal RNA is filed under the name uncultured bacterium. RNAcentral describes it as "bacterial SSU rRNA". It matches the Rfam family "Bacterial small subunit ribosomal RNA", at positions 912 to 1503 of the family's 1533-position model. The record is from RNAcentral.